Nestor notabilis (Kea) is the source of this 47-nucleotide non-coding RNA. Lineage: Eukaryota; Metazoa; Chordata; Aves; Psittaciformes; Psittacidae. The record is from Rfam.
CUCAAGGUUUUUAUUAAAACCACAAAAUUUCCUCAAGAUAUUAGAUU